GACAUCCCGCGCUAUCACCAGAGAUGGUGAGUUCCCUUCGGGGACGCGGUGACAGGUGCUGCAUGGCUGUCGUCAGCUCGUGUCGUGAGAUGUUGGGUUAAGUCCCGCAACGAGCGCAACCCUCGUCCUUAGUUGCCAUCAUUAAGUUGGGCACUCUAAGGAAACCGCCCGUGAUAAGCCGGAGGAAGGGGGGGAUGACGUCAAGUCCUCAUGGGCCUUACACGCUGGGCUACACACGUGCUACAAUGGGGGUGACAGUGGGCAGCGACCUCGCGAGGGGUAGCUAAUCUCCAAAAGCCGUCUCAGUUCGGAUUGUUCUCUGCAACUCGAGAGCAUGAAGGCGGAAUCGCUAGUAAUCGCGGAUCAGCAAGCCGCGGUGA
RNAcentral lists this ribosomal RNA (380 nucleotides) under uncultured Novosphingobium sp. RNAcentral describes it as "bacterial SSU rRNA". It matches the Rfam family "Bacterial small subunit ribosomal RNA", at positions 983 to 1365 of the family's 1533-position model. The record is from RNAcentral. Lineage: Bacteria; Pseudomonadati; Pseudomonadota; Alphaproteobacteria; Sphingomonadales; Sphingomonadaceae.